CAGCCGCCGCGGUAAUACGAAGGGGGCUAGCGUUGUUCGGAUUUACUGGGCGUAAAGCGCACGUAGGCGGAUCGAUCAGUCAGGGGUGAAAUCCCAGAGCUCAACUCUGGAACUGCCUUUGAUACUGUCGAUCUGGAGUAUGGAAGAGGUGAGUGGAAUUCCGAGUGUAGAGGUGAAAUUCGUAGAUAUUCGGAGGAACACCAGUGGCGAAGGCGGCUCACUGGUCCAUUACUGACGCUGAGGUGCGAAAGCGUGGGGAGCAAACAGGAUUAGAUACCCGGGUAGUCCCUGUCUCUUAUAA
This 301-nucleotide ribosomal RNA is filed under the name uncultured bacterium. RNAcentral describes it as "partial 16S ribosomal RNA". It matches the Rfam family "Bacterial small subunit ribosomal RNA", at positions 509 to 809 of the family's 1533-position model. The record is from RNAcentral.